Halichondria panicea is the source of this 4939-nucleotide long non-coding RNA. RefSeq lists it as uncharacterized. Lineage: Eukaryota; Metazoa; Porifera; Demospongiae; Suberitida; Halichondriidae. The record is from RefSeq and is a predicted model, not a curated record. The transcript is spliced from 3 exons.
CACUCCGAGUUGCGCGUUACCCUUGGUGAUACAUCGUGAUAAGCGAAAUAACAACUUUGAAGCCAUAGCUGCAGUUGCACAGUAGCUAAUAGACGUACUUAUAGACAUGGCCAGGUACAUCCUUCAAAGUGAUACUACUCCUUUGAGUGGGAAAAAAGCACCGUAGACUGAGUAAUCCCUCUAGUAUGCUCAGUUAUUGCUGUUGCGUGCAAAAGAUAAUUUUACUUGUACUUGUAGUAUAAUGCCGAAGAUUAGAGCUGGCCGACGUCACCAUCUCUAUAAAAGCAAAAAUUCCGAAUGAAAGCGUCAAACACUUCAGACAAUCACCAACACCAUUGAUAAUCGGGAUGCCAUUGAUCUAUUUGAAGGUCUGAAACAAGAAUUGUCGUCAUCGCUGUUAAGUGGCUGGCAUGUAUUUGCUAACUCUGACACAAUACAGAUGUCUUCGGUUUCUAAUUCGCCACCAGAACCUAGUGUUGUUCGCAUAAUUCUAACUGUGCACAAACAUUUUAAAUGGGCUGUACAUGUGUACGGAAAGGUUGUACCCUCGAACAGUGGCUUUGUAAAAAAAUUUCCAACAUGCUUUAAAAACCAAAGAAGAAGUACACCACAUUUGUAUAAGCCUACAGGGAGCUGCUUUAUGCGAAGGAAACAAUGAUGACUGCUUUAUUGAGUUGGUAGUGAAGAGAGGUGCAUGGAGUUGUCAAGAAUCGUGCAGCAACAACUGUUUUACAGCUUUCUUGGAUGAAAAAAAUCACACUGUUCGUCACCAGAAGAACUGUGAGAUUAUUCUAGCCGAAAAGGGCCAAUGUAGUGCCUGUCAUAAUUACAGGCCAACACUCUGUGCUAUGUACUCCAAAAAGGAAUCCUCUCAAUCAAGCAAGACAUCAAGCAGUAGUCAUGCUAAUUAUCGGUAUCUACAACGCAGUGAGCUUACAGACACACAUGCAGAGAAAAAAGACGUGCUGAUUUAUCAGAAAACCGUGCUAAACAAAUUAAUGUCUCCAGUUUUAGCACGUUUACACAUGUGCUAAACAACCUGAUGUGCUAAACAACCUGAUGUGCUGAAUUCUAAUGUGCUGAAACAGUUGUGCUGAUUGUAUUGUGCUAAUUAAAUCACAUUAGAAAAACAAUACAUCAAUACAGUAUUAAAAUUAUAUUAAACAAACGAUGAGGAUAUAAAAGUGAAAUGUUUUUUUAAACAUAGUUAGUUAACCAUAGCAAGUCUGCACUCAGUUCACUGCAACUGUAAGAUACUGCCUUUGACUUCUCAGCAUCACCUGCAUGCGUGAAGUAGAAAAAUAUGUCACAUAAAGCCAGUACAAUUAUAACCAAGGGUGUAUAUACGCCCUUGUUAUAACCAAGUAUAAAGUGCGUAUAGAUUAGGUACAUAACAUCAGUCAUAGCAUGAACAAAGUAAGAUUGUUCCACUGAUAGCAUUCACUAGUCUGUUGACAGGAGGUGGGGUUAUUCACAGCAUUGCAAUGAAACUUAUAAUGGGGCGAAAUAAGAAAAGCCUUUGCUGCGAUCCAUGACAAAUGCCGAGUGCAUAAAAAAGUACAUGAGCCAAAAGCAAAGAAUUGUAGCUACAUGCAGAAGAGUCAUAUAACACAGAUAGGACCAAGAGGAAGAGUACGCUACUCCAAUAGACGAGGCAAACUCACUAUUGCAUGUAACCACAGCCAUGCACUUGAGAUACAACAAUAACAAUAACAAUUCUGAUAAGAAAAGCAAUUAGUGGUAAUCAUCACUAACGUUUAUUCAUCCAUUCAUCGCAGAUUAAUUUUAAAAUUUUACAGUUUAUACAACAACAUGUGGUUGUGAUGUAUAGGUUAGACAGAAUGCUUACUACGGUUAGUGGGAGUUGCAUACUCUUCCUAAUGAACUCUCAUUAUAGUCGUUUUUACACACAAUUAAGUUUGCGAGACUAUAUAAUAGUUAGACACUGUUUAGGAAGUUUCUACAUGAUUUAGAAGCCCAAAGGGCUGGUUGUAGUAUCCUGAACGCAGUGAGGGUUCUACUAGCCCUGAGGACUUCUAAAUUAUGUGGAAACUUCCUAAACAGUGUCUAAGCAUUUUAGAUCAUAGCAACCAUGAGUAUUUAGCCAAUCAGAUUUAAAUGUUCUUAUCUAAUCUUUGCUACAUGAUUUUCUAAGUGAAGUACAUGAUUUUCUAUUGAAGUACAUGAUUUUCUAAAUUGGAUAGAACAUUUCCUCUAACCAAUCAGAUUGCAGUAUUUAUGACAAACAUGAUCUAAAUAAUAGUUAGACACUGUUUAGGAAGUUUCUACAUGAUUUAGAAGCCCAAAGGGCUGGUUGUAGUAUCCCGAACGCAGUGAGGGUUCUACUAGCCCUGAGGACUUCUAAAUCAUGUGGAAACUUCCUAAACAGUGUCUAAGCAUUUUAGAUCAUAGCAACCAUGAGUAUUUAGCCAAUCAGAUUUGAAUGUUCUUAUCUAAUCUUUGCUACAUGAUUUUCUAAGUGAAGUACAUGAUUUUCUAAAUUGGAUAGAACAUUUCCUCUAACCAAUCAGAUUGCAGUAUUUAUGACAAACAUGAUCUAAGAGUAUUUAGCCAAUCAGAUUUGAAUGUUCUUAUCUAAUCUUUGCUACAUGAUUUUCUAUUGAAGUACAUGAUUUUCUAUUGAAGUACAUGAUUUUCUAAAUUGGAUAGAACAUUUCCUCUAACCAAUCAGAUUGCAGUAUUUAUGACAAACAUGAUCUAAAAUAAUACAAAUGAGUUCUUGUUAUGCUAUUAUAGAGCAGCAUCAAUAUUUGGGCCCAUCAAUUAUCUCGUAUAGAGAGCAGAUUGAGAAGUUGUCUUCCGCCGACAAUAAUCGUUGUAAGGGCUAAACAACAAAGCUUAAUACGAAAGUUUAAUUUAACAAUGUGUGUAUAAAAGCUAGCUAUGUAGCUUUAUGUUAUGUAGCUUUGGCACCUCUACCGAGGCAUCAGCACCUGUGGUGCUUUCAUUAUUGUAUAUUUACAAUGAUGUCAUUGCACAAAUCCUAGCAAAAUAACACCGAUACGGUAUUUCAUUAUUGGUGACACCACAUAAUAUAAUAUAGUAGAUAGUCUUGAUUUCCAGAGGACGUGGCCAGACUACAUGUAUUCUAGAUGAAUAAAAACAUUAAUAACAAAAAUAGAUGCAUGUCUACUGCACAAAAAAAUUUAAACUAAGAAAGUAAUCUAGUUAUGUAUGCAGUCACAUUUCAAUGGUUUUCACGAAAGUACCUUUCAAUGUUUCUAACUAUGUCCCCUCUUUUCAGCUUGCGGACAAUAUCUAAAAGUGCUUGAAACGUUGCUUUUUCAGGCUCUCUUUUCUUCCAGCAUGACAAACAGUAAAGUACUGCCUUUUGUGCAUGUACUGGUAUUGUCUUUUUUCGCUGCAUCAGAUUUUUCGGCGGGGGUAAGUUCUAGUAAGUCAACAAGAAAGUCAACACAGUCAAAAAAAUCAGCCAAAUGAACGAGAUCAGAUGAUGGUAUCUCCAUGCUAUGAGAGUUGACUGCUAGACCUGAGCUUCUCUUUGUUGAGCUCUCUUGAAUUCCGUCAAGUUCACCUACAGAACAAUGAUGUGAAAGCCUCAAACCUUAUCAAUUAUUGUACAGUGACACAUACAGCCAGGAGUGCAUGAAUAGCCUAUAAAUAAAAAGUAUGCUAUUAUUGUGUAUUUAGGUACAUACAGCUGUUUGCACAGACCUUGCAAAAUACUAAAUCAUUCACUGCAUUACCACAAACCACUAUACAAUGUUGCUAUGCAAACAAUUAGAUAUAGAGUGGAAAUCUCCAAAGAGGUACGUUUGCUCUAGUGGGAGGAGCUUCUUUCGAUACGUUUGCUUGAGGCCAUCGAUGACAUUGUUAAUUGUAGACGUCUGCCACAUCACGUUGUUUCUUGUUGCCUGAGAGCCAGGAGAACAUGGUUGCCUACUGGGAGGGUCCUGCAGGGGAUACAAAUAAAGCUUUAGCCUCGAUUCCAAGCCGCUGAGAAAGACGGCCUGGUAUACACUGUUUACGCAUGCGCCAGAAUUACCCAGAAUCUGGGUAAUCGUAAAUUGCAGUAUAUUUAUCAGUAUUCUUAUUCCGCAUUAGUUUGUAAAACAUUGAUAUCCGUUUCAUUUAUAAUGAUGUCAUUGAAAAAAGAAAUCUAGUCCAAGUUGUGUAAUGGCUGCUGCCUUCUCUUCUGCUCUCGCGUACGCGUUAUCCUGUGUUGGAAAACCAGGUCUAGUCUUGAGAGACAAGCAGUUGGAGGCGUUGAAGUGUCUGUACGCUGGUGUUUAUGUGGGUACCGUACAGACCGGCUAUGGCAAGUCCCAGAGCAAGUCCAUCUGCUUUCCAGACACUCUCUUUCUUGAUUGAUGUGAAGCUUGACAGGACCAGUGCACCUCUCUCUGAAAGAAGUGUUGUGAUGGUGAUUUCUCCUCUUGUUUCUCUGAGUGAAGCCAUCUUCAAAGUGUUGGUGUGUCUGUUCGACGUCCAGUGCCAUUCUCUCUGGAAGGAAGUAUUGUUGUGACAUUUGCCGAAAAUUGGUCACAGAGUAAGUACGUGGUAUCUGAUCCGAUCGAGAACUGUGUGGCCUGAAUGUGUUUACAAUCCGAGGGACUUAUGUGUAUCCGAUCCGAGGGACUUGUUGCUUGAGUGUGUAUUAAUGGAUAGUGCUUUCAAUGGUUUAACUAAUUUCUUAUGAGAUUAACUUGUCGCCUGAGUGUGUAUCCGAUCCGAGCCUCAAGUUAAUGAAUAAAUCUACAGACCUGAUGUUUUACUUAGCUGUCUCUGUCUACAGUAUAUACAGAGAGGUAGCCUCUUCUUUUUCUUUUUACUGUUCUUUAUCACAAUAACUGUUUUAAGGUUCAAUGAGAUAAAAUACGGUAAAUAAUAAAUUAAUUGUCCACCCACGCGCCAACAGUAAAUACCAGGCCCACUAUUCAAGGGGCUGGAGUCGAGG